AGCUUUGCGCAGUGGCAGUAUCGUAGCCAAUGAGGUUUAACCGAGGUGCUAUUUUCGCUAAUUGAAAACUUUUCCCAAUACCCCGGCAUGACGACUUGAAAUAUAGUCGGCAUUGGCUAUUUUUGACAGUCUACAGAC
This 138-nucleotide small nuclear RNA is filed under the name Aotus nancymaae (Ma's night monkey). RNAcentral's name for it is "U4 spliceosomal RNA (ENSANAG00000003563.1)". It matches the Rfam family "U4 spliceosomal RNA". Rfam says of the family: U4 small nuclear RNA (U4 snRNA) is a component of the major U2-dependent spliceosome. The record is from RNAcentral. Lineage: Eukaryota; Metazoa; Chordata; Mammalia; Primates; Aotidae.